RNAcentral lists this ribosomal RNA (531 nucleotides) under uncultured bacterium. RNAcentral's name for it is "bacterial SSU rRNA". It matches the Rfam family "Bacterial small subunit ribosomal RNA", at positions 8 to 526 of the family's 1533-position model. The record is from RNAcentral.
AGAGUUUGAUCCUGGCUCAGAUUGAACGCUGGCGGCAUGCUUUACACAUGCAAGUCGAACGGCAGCGAGGAGAAGCUUGCUUCUCUGUCGGCGAGUGGCGAACGGGUGAGUAUAGCAUCGGAACGUGCCAAGUAGUGGGGGAUAACCAAACGAAAGUUUGGCUAAUACCGCGUAAGCUCCAAGGAGGAAAGUAGGGGACCUAAUAAGGCCUUACGCUAUUUGAUCGGCCGAUGUCGGAUUAGCUAGUUGGUGGGGUAAUGGCUCACCAAGGCAAUGAUCCGUAGCGGGUCUGAGAGGACGAUCCGCCACACUGGGACUGAGACACGGCCCAGACUCCUACGGGAGGCAGCAGUGGGGAAUUUUGGACAAUGGGGGAAACCCUGAUCCAGCCAUGCCGCGUGUAUGAAGAAGGCCUUAGGGUUGUAAAGUACUUUUGUUAGGGAAGAAAAGCUAGUUUUUAAUAAAAAUUAGUGAUGACGGUACCUAAAGAAUAAGCACCGGCUAACUACGUGCCAGCAGCCGCGGUAAUUC